AUCUCUUCUUUUGCAUGCAAGAAAAAUGAAUGAAUCCUGGAUUCCAUGUCCAUCAAUAUGCUCUCAUUUUUAAGCCUGCAAAAGCUUUUCUAAAUCCCUCUUAAAGCAACAGUAGAGCUUUGUUUUAGGAUCUUCUUCAAAACAAAUGAAUCCAUUAAAUUCUUCAUGUUUACAAACAUCAUGCUAGGUAUCUACAUCAUUCUUAUAAAAUUUAUGAGGUACAAUACGCAUACAUAGAACAGAUAAGAUUUUCUUAUGAAAGUUACGAGGAGCAGGAGGAGGAGGGGUAGAGAGGGGUGGAGGGUGGCGGAUUUUGGGACAGGAUCCUAUAGAAUCUCCCUCUGCCACAUUAAUCAUCUUUCGUUCCAUUUAGCUCAGUCCUGGUUUCACAGUUCAAGCCGGGACAAGCCCAGGCCAAGUUAGGAGCUACCAUUAUAUACAGGGUUCAAAAAGUAAUAGAAAUUUUGCUUGCAAAAAUAUGUAGGAGCUUCAAGGGACCCAAAUUUCACUAGAUAUCUGCUAAAAAAAGUUAUUAAGCGUAUUUCACAAGCAAGAUGUAACAAACCUGUUGAACUGAGCUAUCUUCGAUAUGGCAAGGAGAAUCUUCCUCUCUUGUUGACAAAAUGCGGUUUCUUGAUUCUAAUUGAUGCUCUGGCAGAUCCUCUUCCCAUCCUUCAU
Molecule: unclassified non-coding RNA, 678 nt
Filed under: Hevea brasiliensis (rubber tree)
Lineage: Eukaryota; Viridiplantae; Streptophyta; Magnoliopsida; Malpighiales; Euphorbiaceae
Source: RNAcentral